This 497-nucleotide ribosomal RNA is filed under the name uncultured bacterium. RNAcentral describes it as "partial 16S ribosomal RNA". It matches the Rfam family "Bacterial small subunit ribosomal RNA", at positions 28 to 507 of the family's 1533-position model. The record is from RNAcentral.
GAUGAACGCUGGCGGCGUGCCUAAUACAUGCAAGUCGAGCGAACGGACGCGACGCUUGCUUCUCUGACGUUAGCGGCGCACGGGUGAGUAACAUGUGGAUAACCCACCUAUCAGACUGGGAUAACUUCGGGAAACCGGAUCUUAUCCCGGAUAAUCUUUUGCACCGCAUGGUUCAAUAGAGAAAGUCGGCCUUUCUGUCUCUUCUCGCUGCUUCCGCGCUGCAUUAGCUAGUUGGUACGGUCACGGCUUUCCACGGCAACGAUGCGUAACCGACCGGCGAGGGGGGUCGGCGACACGGGAGCUGAGACACGGUCCAGGCUCCUACGGGAGGCAGCAGUAGGGAAUGUGACGCAAUGGGCGAGAGCCUGACGGAGCAACGCCGCGUGAGUGAUGGAGGUGUUCGGAUCGUAAAACUCUGUUAUGAGGGAAGAACAGAUGUGUAAGGAACUGUGGAGUGCGUGACGGUACCUAGUCAGAAAGCCACGGCUAACUACGUG